RNAcentral lists this ribosomal RNA (253 nucleotides) under uncultured bacterium. RNAcentral's name for it is "partial 16S ribosomal RNA". It matches the Rfam family "Bacterial small subunit ribosomal RNA", at positions 524 to 776 of the family's 1533-position model. The record is from RNAcentral.
UACAGAGGGUGCAGGCGUUGUCCGGAAUCACUGGGCGUAAAGGGCGCGUAGGCGGCCCGGUAAGUAGGGGGUGAAAUCUCACGGCUCAACUGUGAGGCUGCCUUCUAGACUGCCAGGCUCGAGCACAGUAGAGGCUGGUGGAAUUCCCGGUGUAGCGGUGGAAUGCGUAGAGAUCGGGAAGAACAUCUGUGGCGAAGGCGGCCAGCUGGGCUGUUGCUGACGCUGAUGCGCGACAGCGUGGGGAGCAAACAGG